Molecule: ribosomal RNA, 2927 nt
Filed under: Escherichia coli
Lineage: Bacteria; Pseudomonadati; Pseudomonadota; Gammaproteobacteria; Enterobacterales; Enterobacteriaceae
Description: partial 23S ribosomal RNA
Rfam family: Bacterial large subunit ribosomal RNA
Source: RNAcentral
GGGUUGUGAGGUUAAGCGACUAAGCGUACACGGUGGAUGCCCUGGCAGUCAGAGGCGAUGAAGGACGUGCUAAUCUGCGAUAAGCGUCGGUAAGGUGAUAUGAACCGUUAUAACCGGCGAUUUCCGAAUGGGGAAACCCAGUGUGUUUCGACACACUAUCAUUAACUGAAUCCAUAGGUUAAUGAGGCGAACCGGGGGAACUGAAACAUCUAAGUACCCCGAGGAAAAGAAAUCAACCGAGAUUCCCCCAGUAGCGGCGAGCGAACGGGGAGCAGCCCAGAGCCUGAAUCAGUGUGUGUGUUAGUGGAAGCGUCUGGAAAGGCGCGCGAUACAGGGUGACAGCCCCGUACACAAAAAUGCACAUGCUGUGAGCUCGAUGAGUAGGGCGGGACACGUGGUAUCCUGUCUGAAUAUGGGGGGACCAUCCUCCAAGGCUAAAUACUCCUGACUGACCGAUAGUGAACCAGUACCGUGAGGGAAAGGCGAAAAGAACCCCGGCGAGGGGAGUGAAAAAGAACCUGAAACCGUGUACGUACAAGCAGUGGGAGCACGCUUAGGCGUGUGACUGCGUACCUUUUGUAUAAUGGGUCAGCGACUUAUAUUCUGUAGCAAGGUUAACCGAAUAGGGGAGCCGAAGGGAAACCGAGUCUUAACUGGGCGUUAAGUUGCAGGGUAUAGACCCGAAACCCGGUGAUCUAGCCAUGGGCAGGUUGAAGGUUGGGUAACACUAACUGGAGGACCGAACCGACUAAUGUUGAAAAAUUAGCGGAUGACUUGUGGCUGGGGGUGAAAGGCCAAUCAAACCGGGAGAUAGCUGGUUCUCCCCGAAAGCUAUUUAGGUAGCGCCUCGUGAAUUCAUCUCCGGGGGUAGAGCACUGUUUCGGCAAGGGGGUCAUCCCGACUUACCAACCCGAUGCAAACUGCGAAUACCGGAGAAUGUUAUCACGGGAGACACACGGCGGGUGCUAACGUCCGUCGUGAAGAGGGAAACAACCCAGACCGCCAGCUAAGGUCCCAAAGUCAUGGUUAAGUGGGAAACGAUGUGGGAAGGCCCAGACAGCCAGGAUGUUGGCUUAGAAGCAGCCAUCAUUUAAAGAAAGCGUAAUAGCUCACUGGUCGAGUCGGCCUGCGCGGAAGAUGUAACGGGGCUAAACCAUGCACCGAAGCUGCGGCAGCGACGCUUAUGCGUUGUUGGGUAGGGGAGCGUUCUGUAAGCCUGCGAAGGUGUGCUGUGAGGCAUGCUGGAGGUAUCAGAAGUGCGAAUGCUGACAUAAGUAACGAUAAAGCGGGUGAAAAGCCCGCUCGCCGGAAGACCAAGGGUUCCUGUCCAACGUUAAUCGGGGCAGGGUGAGUCGACCCCUAAGGCGAGGCCGAAAGGCGUAGUCGAUGGGAAACAGGUUAAUAUUCCUGUACUUGGUGUUACUGCGAAGGGGGGACGGAGAAGGCUAUGUUGGCCGGGCGACGGUUGUCCCGGUUUAAGCGUGUAGGCUGGUUUUCCAGGCAAAUCCGGAAAAUCAAGGCUGAGGCGUGAUGACGAGGCACUACGGUGCUGAAGCAACAAAUGCCCUGCUUCCAGGAAAAGCCUCUAAGCAUCAGGUAACAUCAAAUCGUACCCCAAACCGACACAGGUGGUCAGGUAGAGAAUACCAAGGCGCUUGAGAGAACUCGGGUGAAGGAACUAGGCAAAAUGGUGCCGUAACUUCGGGAGAAGGCACGCUGAUAUGUAGGUGAAGCGACUUGCUCGUGGAGCUGAAAUCAGUCGAAGAUACCAGCUGGCUGCAACUGUUUAUUAAAAACACAGCACUGUGCAAACACGAAAGUGGACGUAUACGGUGUGACGCCUGCCCGGUGCCGGAAGGUUAAUUGAUGGGGUUAGCCGCAAGGCGAAGCUCUUGAUCGAAGCCCCGGUAAACGGCGGCCGUAACUAUAACGGUCCUAAGGUAGCGAAAUUCCUUGUCGGGUAAGUUCCGACCUGCACGAAUGGCGUAAUGAUGGCCAGGCUGUCUCCACCCGAGACUCAGUGAAAUUGAACUCGCUGUGAAGAUGCAGUGUACCCGCGGCAAGACGGAAAGACCCCGUGAACCUUUACUAUAGCUUGACACUGAACAUUGAGCCUUGAUGUGUAGGAUAGGUGGGAGGCUUUGAAGUGUGGACGCCAGUCUGCAUGGAGCCGACCUUGAAAUACCACCCUUUAAUGUUUGAUGUUCUAACGUUGACCCGUAAUCCGGGUUGCGGACAGUGUCUGGUGGGUAGUUUGACUGGGGCGGUCUCCUCCUAAAGAGUAACGGAGGAGCACGAAGGUUGGCUAAUCCUGGUCGGACAUCAGGAGGUUAGUGCAAUGGCAUAAGCCAGCUUGACUGCGAGCGUGACGGCGCGAGCAGGUGCGAAAGCAGGUCAUAGUGAUCCGGUGGUUCUGAAUGGAAGGGCCAUCGCUCAACGGAUAAAAGGUACUCCGGGGAUAACAGGCUGAUACCGCCCAAGAGUUCAUAUCGACGGCGGUGUUUGGCACCUCGAUGUCGGCUCAUCACAUCCUGGGGCUGAAGUAGGUCCCAAGGGUAUGGCUGUUCGCCAUUUAAAGUGGUACGCGAGCUGGGUUUAGAACGUCGUGAGACAGUUCGGUCCCUAUCUGCCGUGGGCGCUGGAGAACUGAGGGGGGCUGCUCCUAGUACGAGAGGACCGGAGUGGACGCAUCACUGGUGUUCGGGUUGUCAUGCCAAUGGCACUGCCCGGUAGCUAAAUGCGGAAGAGAUAAGUGCUGAAAGCAUCUAAGCACGAAACUUGCCCCGAGAUGAGUUCUCCCUGACCCUUUAAGGGUCCUGAAGGAACGUUGAAGACGACGACGUUGAUAGGCCGGGUGUGUAAGCGCAGCGAUGCGUUGAGCUAACCGGUACUAAUGAACCGUGAGGCUUAACCUUACAACGCCGAAG